AUGGGCGGAGUCCUAUUAUUCGAUGGAUUUUGUAAAGGAAUGUUAAAUUCCUCUCCAACAGUGGACGUACACAUCAAAAGUAAGUCAAUAUCUUUCAUAGUAACUUCAUUAUUUUGAGUUAUGUUUGCUAGAUCAUUAUUAGAAAUCAGAAGGAUAGGCUAACAUGUUGAGAUCUCAAGCGAAAAUUUUAAAAGACAUAAAACCUAAAGUAACAAUAAUCAUGAUUGAGAUAUGAUAGCAAAAGUUGUGUUUUGACUAAUUUGAUUGGAUGAAUAGUAAUUUGUUUUAAAAAGGAAUUGACAUUGAAGUUA
Molecule: long non-coding RNA, 311 nt
Filed under: Brassica napus (rape)
Lineage: Eukaryota; Viridiplantae; Streptophyta; Magnoliopsida; Brassicales; Brassicaceae
Description: long non-coding RNA (BNAP_LNC010924)
Source: RNAcentral